Monodelphis domestica (gray short-tailed opossum) is the source of this 2181-nucleotide long non-coding RNA. Lineage: Eukaryota; Metazoa; Chordata; Mammalia; Didelphimorphia; Didelphidae. The record is from Ensembl.
CAGGUUAAACUGGUGUUUCCCUACCAUGUUGUUUUCAAUACAGACAGUCCACGUCCACUGACUUUCCCAAUAUAUUCUAUGGUAUAGCUCAGUUCCACUCCAAUGAUAUGUUAGCAUACUUCCAUAGAAUAAUAUGGUUCCCCUAAUAUUAUAGUACAAGUACAUAUUGUAAAGAUUUGCUGAAGUUGGAGUCCAGAAGACCUCAGUUCCUAGUCUUACCUCAGACACUUAGCAACUAAGUGCCUAAGUCCCUUUAACCUCUUUCAGUUUCCACUUCCUCACUUGUAAAAUGGGUAUACUUCUGCACCCAUCUAACAGGGCUAUUGUGAGGACAAAAUGAAAUAUUCUCUAUAAAGCAUUUGGAAAACCUUAAAGCUCUAUAUAAAUGCAUAUUUUGUUUCUCUUGUCUCUCUUCUCCUUCCUUCCUUCCUUCCUUCCUUCCUUCCUUCCUUCCUUCCUUCCUUCCUUCCUUCCUUCCUUCCUUCCUUCCUUCCUUCCUUCCUUCCUUCCUUCCUUCCUUCCUUCCUUCCUUCCUUCCUUCCUUCCUUCCUUCCUUCCUUCCUUCCUUCCUUUCUUCAUUCCUUUGUUCCUUCCUACCUUCCUUCCUUCCUUUCUCCCCCACCCCUCUCCAUUUAUUCUGUUACAAUGAACAGUUCUAUGGCUUAGGGCAUGGGAGAGGGGAGUCCUUGGGAAGUGGCAGUGACAUACAAAAAAGAACAUCUCUAAAUUAUUUAUAUUAUUAAAAAAAGACUAAUAGCCUUAAAAAUGUUAUAUUUUCUCCCCUAGAAGGAAAUUUCUAUGUACUAUUACAUAGAGAAGUAAGAAAGGUUAGAAAAGAUAGAGGUUGCUUUACCUUCUUUAAAAGUGAUAUAAUUCACAUUUUUCAGUACAAAUACAUAUACACAUUUGUAUACCCUAGUCAAAUGUAUACAAAAUUUGAGCUUAUUAAAAAUAACUUUCAAAAAUAUCAUUGACUUGUUUUUUAGGAGAGAACUGUGAUCAUAUGAUCUAUGAUGCCUUGCUGUUCUUCUAGAUGACUUAAUAGUUAGCUAUUUCUAUUUUGUAAUUGUAGUGUAUACUAUUCUUUUUAGAGAAUAGUAUGUUAGCAGUUAGUUUCUCCAAACAUGGUUAUUAUUUUUUGCCUUUAAAUACUCGGUGUGUGCAGAAUAAUGCAUCGGGCAAUCUUCUCUUUAAGCCACACAUAGUCUUAAAUACCUCUGUGUGCAACUUCUAUUUGUCCAUGCACAAUUGAAACUAAACCUGCUUUGAUCGUUUACACAUAACCGUUUGUCUGCUGAGAUUACAGGUUGCAAUAAUGAGGCUCACUGAAAGCCUUCUAUUGCAAGCCCUAAACAGUAAGAGUCGGGGUUUUAGAACACUCAUUGUUCCAGUGCAACCAAUCAGAUUAAUGUAGGAGACCUUCCAUUUUAGCAACUGGGAACUGCUGUUAGCUCCUUAACUCUAUCUUUGCAGGCAACCCUGCCAACUUGAUUAUGGUAAACCUUUAGUCAUCAUUUGCAAGAGAUAUAAAAGCAAGUCCAUCGUGACUUCAGGUUCAAAAACUUUGACUCCAGGAAAGAACGUUUGGUUGUUGCUAUGAAAACCAAGGGAAACCUCUACUGGGACUGGCUAUGUGCAGAGAUGGUGGUAGGGUUAUAUGGUUUCACCAGUGGCAUUAAAAUCCUCUUGACUCCAGCUCUAGUUUCUCAGGCACAUAGUCUAGGGGGCCUACCUACGAAUAGUUGAGUGUGAGUGUAUGUUCAGAGACUCUCCUCAUCAUUCCUGGUUCAUAAUGAUAUAUUUUUUAGUUUACAACAAAAUAGAGAAACAUUGUUAUUGGAUACUGAAAGUUACAUAGAAGUCCCAAAGAUCAAAAGAUACAGAUUCUUAUAUUCCUUUUGCUCUUAAUACUGCACACAGUCACAGAAAAAGGCAGAAGACAUUAUCUACUCUAACAUUUUCAUAUUACAAAAGGGAAAACGAGAAGUGCAGAGAGGUUAAAUAACUUGCCUGAGAUCACAAAGCAAAUUAUCAGAAAAACUGGACAAGUCCUGAAGUUUUGCUCCCCUCCCACCCCCCAGUUUAGUUCUCAUUCUGUGCUUUUUAGGAUUCCAUUUUAUUAUUUGCGUUUUGCCUCAUUCCAUGAAUAAAGUAUUAGGGGGGAAAAAAGCCCUUGUAUUU